AUGACAUUGCCAAACACAUUCAUGUCAGCGGAUCAGAUAUUUGAGUUUGUUAGAGAUGCGGAUUGUUAUCUAAAUGUCUCAAUUGCUUAUCGUAUCCUUUUGACCGUACCUGUGACUGUUGCAUCAGCUGAAAGGAGUUUCUCAAAAUUCAAACUAUUGAAAAAUUAUUUGAGGUCAACGAUGUCUCAAGAAAGAUUGAAUGGAUUGGCCAUGUGCUGCAUUGAGAAGAAUAUGCUGGAUAGUAUUGAUCUUGACACUCUCAUUGAUGAUUUUGCGUCAAAAAAUGCACGAAAUUUUAUGAUU
This 303-nucleotide ribosomal RNA is filed under the name Triticum aestivum (bread wheat). RNAcentral's name for it is "partial small subunit ribosomal RNA". The record is from RNAcentral. Lineage: Eukaryota; Viridiplantae; Streptophyta; Magnoliopsida; Poales; Poaceae.